CACCGAUGAUGAAUAACAAGAGAGUUCUGCAAUACCGACAAUUUCCAGGGUAAUACCUGUGGAAUUGAAUGUUGACAUCUCACUUACACUUGAUCUGAGG
RNAcentral lists this small nucleolar RNA (100 nucleotides) under Nannizzia gypsea CBS 118893. Its description in RNAcentral is "Arthroderma gypseum CBS 118893 A. fumigatus snoRNA Afu_191". It matches the Rfam family "A. fumigatus snoRNA Afu_191". The record is from Rfam by way of RNAcentral. Lineage: Eukaryota; Fungi; Ascomycota; Eurotiomycetes; Onygenales; Arthrodermataceae.